This 72-nucleotide transfer RNA is filed under the name Ovis aries (sheep). It matches the Rfam family "tRNA". Rfam says of the family: Transfer RNA (tRNA) molecules are approximately 80 nucleotides in length. Their secondary structure includes four short double-helical elements and three loops (D, anti-codon, and T loops). Lineage: Eukaryota; Metazoa; Chordata; Mammalia; Artiodactyla; Bovidae. The record is from Rfam by way of RNAcentral.
UCUUAGUGGCUCAGAGGUUAAAAGCAUCUGCCUGCAAUGCGGGAGACCUGGGUUCAAUCCCUGGGUUGAGAA